AUGUCAACAGACACAGAUGUUUCCCUUUCUUCCUAUGAUAAAGAUCAAGGAUCCAAACUUGUUCGAAAAGUUGAAGAGCCACCAUUUGUUCUCACUGGAAUGGCAGGCUUUCCAGCAAUUGUUCCAUAAGGAUUAUACAAAUGGAAGAGCAGAGGAAAUGCUAAAAGGUCCCUUCUCCUGAUCCACAUGUGUUGUAGAAGCAAUGACUGUUGGUAUGGGCUGUUCUGUGUAUUAGGAAUUCUGGGCAAAGCCUAAGCCUUGGAAGGAGGAUGCUGUCUUGAUCUUGUAA
RNAcentral lists this long non-coding RNA (289 nucleotides) under Homo sapiens (human). RNAcentral's name for it is "non-protein coding lnc-PAQR3-2:1". The record is from RNAcentral. Lineage: Eukaryota; Metazoa; Chordata; Mammalia; Primates; Hominidae.